AUUUAUUAUCAAUUUGGCGCCGUUGCCAAUUGGGUGUUUGUUUGCUAUAUUUGAGAUUUCAGAAUUGUUAAGAUCAAGUUCGUUUUUGUUAUAAGAGAUACUAACAUUGUGUCUUUUCAGAAUUUGUAUUUCAGGUACUUAGCAACCAACUUUAUUCGUCUGUUAUAGUUAGGUUGAUACAUGUCAUACACGGUCACAAGGGAAUUAGAACUUCCUAUUCAACGAUAACAUCGACCGUAUUGCUCGCCAACUGAAAGAACGGACAGCAACAGACACAAUGGCUGACAUUGUAGAUGCGCAAGAGCAACCUAACAACAUUGGUGCUAGUGACUUCCCUCACAACCACAACCAGCGUCAUGGCAUUGUUCCACCUCCAGUACAAAACAACAACUUUGAGAUCAAAAGCAGUCUCAUUGCAAUGGUGCAGGGGAACAAGUUUCAUGGCUUGCCAAUGGAGGAUCCACUCGAUCAUCUAGACGAGUUUGAAAGGCUCUGUAGCCUUACUAAAAUCAAUGGAGUUAGUGAAGAUGGUUUCAAGCUUCGCUUGUUUCCAUUCUCACUUGGAGACAAAGCCCAUCUGUGGGAAAAGACGCUACCCCAGGGAUCAAUCACGACCUGUGAUGACUGCAAAAAAGCUUUCUUGGCAAAAUUCUUCUCCAACUCCAGAACUGCAAGACUCCAGAAUGAGAUAUCCGGAUUCACUCAGAAACAAAGUGAAAGUUUCUGUGAAGCUUGGGAACGCUUUAAGGGUUAUCAAACAAAAUGCCCUCAUCACGGAUUUAAGCAAGCUUCUCUUCUCAGCACACUCUACAGAGGCGUCUUGCCUAAGAUAAGGAUGCUACUUGACACCGCUUCAAAUGGGAAUUUCUUAAAGAAGGAUGUUGAAGAAGGGUGGGAGCUAGUUGAAAACUUUGCUCAGUCGGAUGGCAAUUAUAAUGAAGAUUAUGACAGAAGCAUCCGCACCAGUUCUGACUCUGAUGACAAGCACCGUAGAGACAUGAAAGCUCUCAAUGACAAACUAGACAAAAUCCUCCAAGUGCAGCAGAAACAUGUUCACCUCAUCUCUGAAGAUGAACCAUUCCAAGUAUAAGAGGGGGAGAAUGAUCAGUGUGCUUACAGCUAUGUUCAGAAUCAAGGUGGCUACAACAAGGGGUACAACAAUUACAGACCCAACCCAAAUCUGUCAUACAGAAGCACCAAUAUCGCCAACCCUCAUGACCAAGUCUACCCUCAGCAACAGCAAAACCAACCCAAACCCUUUAUUCCUUACAACCAAAGCCAAGGAUUCGUCCCAAAGAUGCAGUUUCAAGGAGGAUAUCAACAACAGCAACCACCACCUGGUUUCACACCACAUCAACAACAGCCAGUUGCGCCUCAGAAUUCAGACAUAAUGACUAUGCUCCAGCUGCUCAUUCAAGGACAAGCCACAGGAGCAAUGGAAAUCGCUAAGAAGUUGGGUAAAUUAAAUAACAAAGUCGACCGACAAAGCGUCGAACUUAACAGCAAGUUCGAAUCACUGAGCACUAGGAUGAGAUAUGUGGAAGGCAUCCUCGCUACACCAUCUGUUAACAACAACCCAGGCCAGCUUCCAGGGAAAGCAAUCCAGAAUCCUAAGGAGUACGCCACUGCUCACGCCAUCAAUAUCUGCCAUGAUCGAGAGCUGCCAACUCGACAUGCCUCUACCUCCAUCACUAGGGACAGUGAAGUUCAAGAAGGGGAGGAUUUUGUUCAGAAUGAAAUUCAAGCUAAAAUAGCAUUAGAGGAGCCCAUACUCGAUCAGAGUACUCGAUCCCAAGCUCAAGUAGUACUUUCUUCAGUUAAAAAGACUGCAUCUGCUAAAACCAAGGAUAAAGUCUUUGUUCCUCCACCCUACAAGCCUCCAUUACCAUUUCCAGGGAGAUUUAAGAAGCAACUGAUGAAGAAGUAUGAAGCUCUCUUGGAAAAAAAAUUGAAGGACCUUGAAAUCACAAUGCCUCUAGUAGACUGUCUUGCGCUAAUACCGGACUCACACAAACGUGUGAAGGACAUGAUUACAGAGAGGAUCACAGAAGUUCAAGGAACAGUGGCGUUACCUCACGAGUUUAGUGCAAUCAUCCAGAAGAACAUUAUUCAAGAAAAGUUGGAAGAUCCGGGAUCUUGUACUCUACCAUGCUCUAUUAGGCAACUGACUUUCAGCAACUGUCUAUGUGAUCUAGGAGCUUCAGUCAGCGUAAUGCCACUUUCUGUGGCAAGGAAGCUGGGAUUUUUCAAAUAUAAGCCAUACGACCUAUCCUUGAUCCUUGCUGAUAGGACCUUAAGAAAACCUUAUGGCCUACUAGAAGAUAUGCCUAUCAAGAUUAAUGGAGUACAAGUGCCUACAGAUUUUGUUGUGCUUGAGAUGGAUGAAGAACCUAAGGAUCCUCUCAUCCUAGGAAGACGUUUCUUGGCCUUAGUUGGAGCAGUGAUAGACGUCAAAGAUGGAAAGAUUGAAAUCAAUCUUGGGAAGGAUAUCAGGUUACAGUUUGACAUCAACAAAACUCCAAGAAGAUCAACCAUAGAGGGACAGACCUUUGGGGUCCAAGGAGUGGUUACAGAAGAAAGAUUUGAAACUGAAAGAGUAAAGGAACCGAGUUUAGCUCCAACACGACCUUCAAGCUCAACCACUCAGUCUAGUACGCUCUCUGUAGUUGAUUGGCUAGAACUUAAAAGGAAUUCUGAUCUCCAAGAAGAAACCAUCCAGAAGCUAGCUUGCACUGUUGAAGAAGUUAGGGAUACAGUGAGUCAGAUGCAAAGGGAAGCUAUUCAACCUCAACUCGGCAUUGAAGUUAUACCAAAGAAGAAGUUCGUUUCAGAAUGGUGUGAAGAAGAAGACUACCCACAAGAAAUUAAAGAAGCUUACAAGGAAAGGGCCAUUGAGUGCUCAAUUACAGACAUGUCAAGAGAGCAAGCUAAGUCCGAUGUUGUAUCUGCUAAGGAAGAAGAGAAGAUUUCAAUUCUUCUCUAUCACCCUCCUUAAGUCUUAUGAGUGUGAGGAGUCAAGCUAGAGACUUAAAACAAGCUCACUUGGGAGGAAGUCCCAUGUCUAUCUUCGUAAAUAUCUUUUAUUUUUCCUUGUUAUUUUUAAUACAUUCUAUUAGAGUUUUCAGGAGAUAAGAAUGAAGAGCUGAGGGAAAUGGAUUCUGGCUUUGAGGGAACAACAAUACACUCGACCACAGAGCAAUCAAAGACACUCGACAUUGUUCUGGCUUCUCCACGCUAGGAAAUCACUCGACCACACCCUACAGGGAGCGAAUGAAGAUGUGAUCGAGUAUAGCGAAUGAUGCAAUCACGACUUCCCCAUGUCAGUAAUUCACUCGACCGCGGUGCUGGCUGCAGCAGAAGAAGAGAGGUCGAGUACCCCCAAGGGGAAGCUGAGACACAACAGGGAGAUUCGUCGAUGGCCUGGGAGUAAUCACAGGCAGCUAUUGACGACCAACUCCGCUCCUUCUUCCACUGAGGUAUGCACCUCACUCCACCAUUGUAAUAUACCAUCUCUUGUUUUUAUUUUGUUUUUGUGAUGUGUUUUGUCCUGAGUACUCUCUUCCAAAUUUGGUCGCACAGUGGACUGUGUGAUUUAAGUUUGGGGGAGGGCUCAGGAAGUGUGUGUUGCAUUGUAUAUAAUCUUGAGUCUGCAUUCAUCUAAGGCAUAGAAAAACAAAAAAAAAAAUGAAAAAUU
This 3694-nucleotide small RNA is filed under the name Arabidopsis thaliana (thale cress). RNAcentral's name for it is "ATSL040320". The record is from RNAcentral. Lineage: Eukaryota; Viridiplantae; Streptophyta; Magnoliopsida; Brassicales; Brassicaceae.